Musa acuminata AAA Group (dessert banana) is the source of this 389-nucleotide long non-coding RNA. RefSeq lists it as uncharacterized. The record is from RefSeq and is a predicted model, not a curated record. The transcript is spliced from 2 exons. Lineage: Eukaryota; Viridiplantae; Streptophyta; Magnoliopsida; Zingiberales; Musaceae.
GCUGUGUGUAAGAACAGAGAAAGAAAGAAAAAAGAAGAGAAAAGAAAGGGGGAAGAAGAAGAAGAAAAAUUGGGGCUUUGAGGUUUCUUACUCAAUCUUCUCAAUUGGGGGUCAAAAUUCUCAAAGGUCAGCAUGUCACUCUUCGAGAUGUUUGAUUUGGGCUGAGGCAGUGGAUAACUAUUCAGAAUUAUGGGCAAGUCUUGUUGGUUGUUAUGUUAUUGUUGUAUAAGCAUAUUUUGUAUGUAAUGAAAUGUUGUUGAUGAAUCGAAAUGGAUAUACUGUGUAAAAGUGUUAGAAGAUCUCUCUUAUUUGGAAUUUCGAAAUGUUAAGCCUAAUUUAUGAUGAUAUGAACUUGUGGUGAAUAGUUGGAGUUCUGAUUGUAUAAUUUA